This 273-nucleotide ribosomal RNA is filed under the name uncultured bacterium. RNAcentral describes it as "partial 16S ribosomal RNA". It matches the Rfam family "Bacterial small subunit ribosomal RNA", at positions 85 to 354 of the family's 1533-position model. The record is from RNAcentral.
CCGCCGGCGACCGGCGCACGGGUGAGUAACACGUAUGCAACCUGGCCGUGACAGAUGGAUAACCGGGAGAAAUCCCGCCUAAUACAGCAUGACGCCGGGAAGGGACAUCCCUUUCCGGCCAAAGGGGGCGACUCCGGUCACGGAUGGGCAUGCGGCGCAUUAGGUAGUUGGUGGGGCAACGGCCCACCAAGCCGACGAUGCGUAGGGGUUCUGAGAGGAAGGUCCCCCACAUUGGAACUGAGACACGGUCCAAACUCCUACGGGAGGCAGCAG